UAAGGAAUAUUGGUCAAUGGAGGCAACUCUGAACCAGCCAUGCCGCGUGAAGGAUUAAGGCCCUCUGGGUUGUAAACUUCUUUUAUAUGGGAAGAAAUGUACUUUUUCUAAAGUGCUUGACGGUACCAUAGGAAUAAGCACCGGCUAACUCCGUGCCAGCAGCCGCGGUAAUACGGAGGGUGCAAGCGUUAUCCGGAUUUACUGGGUUUAAAGGGUGCGUAGGCGGAUGAAUAAGUCAGUGGUGAAAUCAACGGGCUCAACCUGUUAACUGCCAUUGAUACUGUGUAUCUUGAAUAUGAGAGAGGUAGGCGGAAUGUUGCAUGUAGCGGUGAAAUGCUUAGAUAUGCUACGGAACACCGAUUGCGAAGGCAGCUUACUAUUUCGUAAUUGACGCUGAGGCACGAAAGCGUGGGUAGCGAACA
This 422-nucleotide ribosomal RNA is filed under the name uncultured bacterium. Its description in RNAcentral is "bacterial SSU rRNA". It matches the Rfam family "Bacterial small subunit ribosomal RNA", at positions 355 to 774 of the family's 1533-position model. The record is from RNAcentral.